RNAcentral lists this ribosomal RNA (466 nucleotides) under uncultured bacterium. RNAcentral's name for it is "partial 16S ribosomal RNA". It matches the Rfam family "Bacterial small subunit ribosomal RNA", at positions 28 to 507 of the family's 1533-position model. The record is from RNAcentral.
GACGAACGCUGGCGGCGUGCUUAACACAUGCAAGUCGAACGGUAAGGCUCCAGCUUGCUGGGGUACACGAGUGGCGAACGGGUGAGUAACACGUGGGUGACCUGCCCUGCACUUCGGGAUAAGCCUGGGAAACUGGGUCUAAUACCGGAUAGGACCGCACCGUGAGGGUGUGGUGGAAAGUUUUUUUCGGUGUGGGAUGGGCCCGCGGCCUAUCAGCUUGUUGGUGGGGUAAUGGCCUACCAAGGCGGCGACGGGUAGCCGGCCUGAGAGGGUGGACGGCCACAUUGGGACUGAGACACGGCCCAGACUCCUACGGGAGGCAGCAGUGGGGAAUAUUGCACAAUGGGCGGAAGCCUGAUGCAGCGACGCCGCGUGGGGGAUGACGGCCUUCGGGUUGUAAACUCCUUUCACCAUCGACGAAGGGUUUCUGACGGUAGAUGGAGAAGAAGCACCGGCUAACUACGUG